CUCGCAACAAAGCCAGACUCGCCCCUCUCGCUAACUAAAGGAAUGGAUUCUAUCUCUUUCAAAUAUAUCAUAUAUAUCAUAGGAAUUGCCCCAAACUCUAUCUGACUUGCCUUGACUGACACUCGUAAACUGCUCCUUUAGCCUUGAAUACAGUUUCACUCAGGAAUAGAUGACUAGGUUCUUUAAUGCCUCUCUUCCACGCGCAUUGAAUUCAUUUGAAGUUCUAAGAAAUACCGGCACCUGAGUUAGCUAGAUACUAGGCCUCCACUAGCUCUGGCAACAAUUCAUUGAACCCUGCUGGCAUAUUCAACUCUCAGUAGUUGGUUUACUUUAUUUAUAAGAAUUCAGUUAGAUGCCCCGUUACUUGCUCUCUAAAGAAUUCCAUUUAGGCAGCUUCACCCUACUUCUAGGCCUUAGCAACAGUAGCAACCACAAGAGCAUAAGGAGAUUCCACUCAAGCAGCUAGAAGAUACCACACUUCAGAAGAGCAUUCUCCAUCGUAAGUAACACCGUGCUUCAGGUCUCUGUUAGGGCCGUGUUCGAGCAAAGGUCGGUCUUUCAUUCUAAGAGUGAUUGUGCUGUCGUAUCUGGAAGCUCUGCGUCGGUUAAGUAUCUUCUCAGCAGGAAAGAAAGUAAGCAUUAGUGAGGUCUAGUAGCUCACGUAACUCCCGAAGGAAUUACUUGUUCAGUGCGAAAGAAGCAAGUUUCGUUUGACUUUUCUACUAUAUAAAUAAAGAAAUCAUUUCAUUAUCAACAAUCUAAUCUUCUGCGUUCAAAUCUUUUACUGGAAUCAGAUCUUAUGCGCUCGACUCGAUAGAUGAAAUUCAAAACUGUUCUGAACUGAAAGAAUAGGUUGGCAAAGGGGAAGAAGCCGUUUCAAAAGAAAGAUAAGAAGGAGCGGAUACUCGAAUUAGAUACGAGGGAGCGGUCUGAGACUCUUCCUCGAACAGGACUCCUACUUGUUGAAGGGUCAAAAACCCAUUCUUUAGCUGUCAACUCCCUUUCCACCCUAACCUGGACCACUACUUGAAGGGCCCUAUUAUACUACCACAACCCAUAUUUCUAGUUGUUGGCUUGCAGACCAGAUUGAGAGCACGAGCACUGGAUCUCUUUCUUUAUAAUCCAAAUCAGAUUCCUUUUAUUCCACCACCCCACAAAGUCAGUAAGUGAGUAUUUGUAUCCUUAGAUGGGAAAGUCAAUCACGCAAAGAAGAAAGCAAAUGACAGAUCUGGUCUACUUUCCUAGCACACUGCUUAUGAUAAGGAUCGCGAGUUCAUAAAGACUGAGUUCAUAAAGACUAAGUGAGCUCAACUCUUAACUGACCACGCCGAACAAAGCACUUGUGGAGACUCUCCCUGAGGCCAAACACUGGGGUGAACUCCGGAUUCACAGAACAGAGAAAGAAUGCUUUGAUGCAGCAAUCCGGGCAAUGAGUCAAUAGAGAACCUAGAGAAAUGGAAUCGGCUAAUGAAAUUCCAUUCAGUUUCUGGUCGAAUGGGGAUAGCACUGAGUAGGCGAGAGGGAGUAUAGAGCAGUACCGAAGUCAAUCCUUUACGGGGGAGUAUAGAGCUUAACAGUAGAGGCAAGAGCAGUUCUUGUUGUUGGCGAAAGAAAAGAAAGGAAGCUUCAAUUUCAAGACUGUCGAAGGAAAGUCUAUUGUUGUUGGCGACGAGACAGCUCCACAGCACAGUUGCGACGAGCCAGCUCCACAGUGAAAAGGUUAAGUGAAAGGUAAAGUUCCAGUCUUGUUUCGGGU
RNAcentral lists this long non-coding RNA (1756 nucleotides) under Musa acuminata (dwarf banana). RNAcentral's name for it is "long non-coding RNA (MACU_LNC009698)". The record is from RNAcentral. Lineage: Eukaryota; Viridiplantae; Streptophyta; Magnoliopsida; Zingiberales; Musaceae.